Molecule: non-coding RNA, 1925 nt
Organism: Lolium perenne
Lineage: Eukaryota; Viridiplantae; Streptophyta; Magnoliopsida; Poales; Poaceae
Source: RefSeq, a predicted model, not a curated record
AUCAGCAUUUUGGGCCAAACGAAACGCAUCAGCGAGACGACUCCGCCCCUCCGCCGCCGCUCUCCUUCGUCUCUGGCCACCCAGACCAGUCCGCCGCCGCCAAGGACGAAGCCCCUCCUCCCGUUGACGGGAGCACCUCACAGACCAGGGAGGCCGCGCAAGACGAUCCGCGCGCGCGUCCGCUCCCUCCUUAUCUGAGGCCGGCGGCGGAGGGGAGGGGCGCGGAGGACGUGCUCGUGGUGACUCGCCCGGGCUUCUGCUGCCACCGUCGUCUCCACCGACCACGUCUGCGAGCUGCUGCCGGAGAAGGCCGUUGAGGUCAUCUUCCUCAACCUGGCGCCGCUGCACCCGCAGAUCUGCUUAGCUAAAGCUGUUGCCGGCGCAGCGAGAUGAUUUAGUUACGCCUCCCUCCACGUUGGUACAUGAUACAUGGGGAUGUUUCUUUGCCUAGCCUAAUGAAAUGUAUGGCUGCCUCCUUCGACUCCUACAUCACUGCAUCCCCCAUCAGCGAGACACACAAGGACAACGAUGUUGUUUGUCUUAUGAUCCAGGCCAUCUUCCUCAACCUGGCGGCGGUGCACCUGCACGUCUACAACACCCGCAGAUCUGCUUAGGUAAAGAUGUUGCCGGUGCCCCUCCUUUCGCAGCGAGAUGAUUUAUUUUCGCCUCCCUCCACGUUGGUGCAUUUGACGAUUCACUCCCUGAUACAUGCAAAUGUACAGCUGCCUCCUUCAACUGGUAUGACUCCUACAUCACCGUGUCCCCCAUCUGUGAGCCACAGAAGGUCAACUUUAUGCCUUUUUCGGUUUCCAGGUUUAAAUAAGUACGAUGCAGCAGCGAUUGAAACAUGUGCAGCGGUAACACUUUUUGGUUGCUCUAAGAAAAUGUAACAUGUUACAGAUCUUCCAUAAAUUCAAUGCGAGCUUUGUAUAUCUAGUUUGCAUGGUGUUAGCAUUCCCAUCUUGGCUAAUGGUGUUAUGGCAGUAGCUUCCAAAGGCGGUAGCCUGUAACUUGCAAGGCUGGUUGUGUCUUCAUGCUGAUUGCUAUUUGAGUUGAUCUUGAUCUAGUAAUGAAGUUGCUAUGUGUCUAUGUUCCACUUCUGAAAAUGUAGGCUUAACCUGGUGGUUGGGUUCUUACUGAAGAGGGUUGUACUAUUGCAAUAUUCUGGCUGAUUGCAUUUCUUGAACCUUUCUAUAUUUAAGUGCUUAUGUCUAGCUCAAAAGUCAAAUAUCCCUGUUUCAGCAGAUGAAUGUUGUUUGCUGGAAUUGUAGGCUCGAUGUGUUAAUUCUGUCGCUAUUUGAUUCAAUAGUAUGCCAUUUUGAUCUGCUGAAAUUUAUUUCUUCUCUUUGAUAUAUGCAUAGUUGAUGUUGCAAACUUGUAACUAGUGCUGUUCUGGGAUGAAAAUCUACAGUUGAGUGCUAUUUUAGCUAGUAAGUAUUUACUAGUGGUAAUCUGGAACACUACGGUCUGUUUUUGUCCAGCUGUAAUUGUUCUUGUACCUGCUAUCAUCUCACUCAUAUUUUCAGUUCAGUGAGGAUUCUUUCCUGUCAUCUCACUCAUAUAAAAUAUGCAGAUUCUUGUGGUGGUAGUGGGGUGAGCAGGCGCCUCCUUUCGGAGGUGUGCAACAUCAAAUUUUGAUUCCUCCAUCUGUUAAUCUUGUUUGUUUGGUGGCUGUAAUGGAAGAUUUUUUUCGAUAAAGGCUGUAUGUAAUGGAAGAUAAAUUGCAUGGUUAUGUUGCUGCCUAGGAUGGAUGAAUCCUCCUUGACGUGCUUUGACUUGUAGCCCUGGCUGUAUCUCCUCCAUUAAAUGAUGUAAGAGUUUGCACACUCACAUAUGUGUUCGUUUUGCUUUUUGUAAUGGGUCCUCCAGAUUGGAGCUUGUAAGAGAUGGUGUGUUAAGCAAUUGGCUCGUUUUGUGUGUUUGUA